AGUUAAUGAACUUGUUUAAGUUUGUACUUUGAAAGUACACCAAAGGAAUAACUAUCCUAUUAACUU
RNAcentral lists this transfer RNA (66 nucleotides) under Pyrophorus divergens (Brazilian luminescent click beetle). RNAcentral describes it as "tRNA-Ser". The record is from RNAcentral. Lineage: Eukaryota; Metazoa; Arthropoda; Insecta; Coleoptera; Elateridae.